UACGUAGGGCGCAAGCGUUGUCCGGAAUUAUUGGGCGUAAAGAGCUCGUAGGCGGCUUGUCACGUCGGGUGUGAAAGCCCGGGGCUUAACCCCGGGUCUGCAUUCGAUACGGGCUAGCUAGAGUGUGGUAGGGGAGAUCGGAAUUCCUGGUGUAGCGGUGAAAUGCGCAGAUAUCAGGAGGAACACCGGUGGCGAAGGCGGAUCUCUGGGCCAUACUGACGCUGAGGAGCGAAAGCGUGGGGAGCGAACAGG
RNAcentral lists this ribosomal RNA (252 nucleotides) under uncultured bacterium. RNAcentral describes it as "partial 16S ribosomal RNA". It matches the Rfam family "Bacterial small subunit ribosomal RNA", at positions 524 to 776 of the family's 1533-position model. The record is from RNAcentral.